GAUUCCAGCUCGUGCCGCAGUUGCGAGUCGGUCUGCAGGCGCGCCUCCACCACAGAGCGUUCGCCCGGUUCCAACUGGUUCAGAAGGUAAUCCAGAAGCAAGUGUCGCAUCGGUCUUAAGCAUCCGGCGCUUGCGAGGCCCCCGUCGUUUGCGAGGAACUGUGCCAGGCGUCACGCAACUUGGCCAACGCCGCGUGCAGCCGGCUUUUCACGGUACCCACCGGGAUACCCAUGGCUUCGGCCGCCUCACGGUAUUUUAACCCCUGGUAGUAAAUCAGGAUCACCGCCAUACGAUACUGCUCAGGCAAGCACGAGACCGUCUCGCGCACCCACUGACAGCGUUCGCUUGCUUCCAUUUGAGUGUGGGGGCCCGGUUGCUUGGCCACCA
Molecule: unclassified non-coding RNA, 387 nt
Filed under: uncultured fungus
Lineage: Eukaryota; Fungi
Description: sequence contains ITS1
Source: RNAcentral